RNAcentral lists this ribosomal RNA (443 nucleotides) under uncultured bacterium. RNAcentral's name for it is "partial 16S ribosomal RNA". It matches the Rfam family "Bacterial small subunit ribosomal RNA", at positions 338 to 795 of the family's 1533-position model. The record is from RNAcentral.
CCUACGGGAGGCAUCAGUGGGGAAUAUUGGGCAAUGGGCGAAAGUCUGACCCAGCAACGUAGCGUGAAGGAUGAAUGCCCUCGGGUUGUAAACUUCCUUUUUUAGGGGCGUAGAAAGUUACGGUACUUGAGUAUUAAGCCUCGGCUAACUAUGUGCAAGCAGCCGCGGUAAUACGUAGGUGGCAAGCGUUAUCCGGAUUUAUUGGGUGUAAAGGGCGUGUAGGCGGGAGCGCAAGUCAGAUGUGAAAACUCAGGGCUCAAACCUGAGCCUGCAUUUGAAACUGUGUUUCUUGAGUGCUGGAGAGGCGAUCGGAAUUCCGGGUGUAGCGGUGAAAUGCGUAGAUAUACGGAGGAACACCAGUGGCGAAGGCGGAUUGCUGGACAGUAACUGACGCUGAGGCGCGAAAGCGUGGGGAGCAAACAGGAUGAGAUACCCGUGUAGUC